This 450-nucleotide ribosomal RNA is filed under the name uncultured bacterium. Its description in RNAcentral is "bacterial SSU rRNA". It matches the Rfam family "Bacterial small subunit ribosomal RNA", at positions 329 to 795 of the family's 1533-position model. The record is from RNAcentral.
ACCCAGACUCCUACGGGAGGCAGCAGUCGGGAAUAUUGCGCAAUGGAGGGAACUCUGACGCAGUGACGCCGCGUAUAGGACGAAGGCUUUCGGAUUGUAAACUAUUUUCGUUAGGGAAGAAAAAAGACAGUACCUAAGGAGGAAGCCCCGGCUAACUAUGUGCCAGCAGCCGCGGUAAUACAUAGGGGGCAAGCGUUAUCCGGAAUUAUUGGGUGUAAAGGGUGCGUAGACGGGUGUUUAAGUUGGUUGUGAUAACCCUCGGCUCAACUGAGGAACUGCAACCAAGACUGGAGAUCCUGAGUGUCGGAGAGGAAAGUGGAAUUCCUAGUGUAGCGGUGAAAUGCGUAGAUAUUAGGAGGAACACCAGUGGCGAAGGCGACGUUCUGGACGAUAACUGACGUUGAGGCACGAAAGUGUGGGGAGCACACAGGAUUAGAUACCCCCGUAAUA